This is a non-coding RNA of Glycine soja, 120 nucleotides long. NCBI's taxonomy places the organism in Eukaryota, Viridiplantae, Streptophyta, Magnoliopsida, Fabales, Fabaceae. The record is from Rfam.
UUCUGAUUGGAUGAUGACUAUCACGUGUCAUAUUUUGAUUGACCAAUCACAACAACAAUACAUUUAAUUAUAAAUAGAGUCGACAUCCAAUCAGAACAUAACACGUGACAAUCAUCAUCC